This 118-nucleotide ribosomal RNA is filed under the name Bacillus amyloliquefaciens CC178. Lineage: Bacteria; Bacillati; Bacillota; Bacilli; Caryophanales; Bacillaceae. The record is from RNAcentral.
GUCUGGUGAUGAUGGCGAAGAGGUCACACCCGUUCCCAUGCCGAACACGGAAGUUAAGCUCUUCAGCGCCGAUGGUAGUCGGGGGUUUCCCCCUGUGAGAGUAGGACAUCGCCAGGCA